AAAAGUGUUUUGUUAGUGGAAAAAGGACUUGUUAAAUAAAGAAGAAAUUGUAGAUCGUUGUUGAUACGGUCUGUGCUGUUCUGGGUCUGCUGGUGAAUGCUUGUUGAAUUCUUGUUCAUCCUGGUGGUUGGUGCUGCUGCUGUUGGGUAGAGGAGAGGAAGGCUUGGUGUUGUCCUGUGGCUGUGGACGCUGGAUUAUUCAACAAAAAUUGAGGGAGCUACAGUAUUACGCCGCCUUCGAACGGCUAAUGGAUUUUAUGAGAAGCUGUUUCAUGGCAGAAUUACACUCGGUGAUUUGCCAUUGCCUGCCGAGAAGCGACCGGGGUUAAGAAAAAAAGCAUAUGAUAUUGCGAAUUUUCUCCAAAUAAAGACAUCUAACCAGCGUUAAUCAAAAUUAUCAAGGCCCAUGGAGGAAAAGUCAAAAUAUGUACAUAUCUUUCAGUUAUUGUCUGCUUGUGUACAUAUAUCAAUAAAUGUAUGACAAUGUAUAGAUUUAAAUAUCAAA
Molecule: long non-coding RNA, 504 nt
Organism: Rhagoletis pomonella (apple maggot)
Lineage: Eukaryota; Metazoa; Arthropoda; Insecta; Diptera; Tephritidae
Exons: 2
Source: RefSeq, a predicted model, not a curated record